Non-coding RNA from Danio rerio (zebrafish), 1350 nucleotides. Lineage: Eukaryota; Metazoa; Chordata; Actinopteri; Cypriniformes; Danionidae. The record is from RefSeq and is a predicted model, not a curated record.
CAGACAUUGGGAAAAAUAAUACAGGAGGGCUAAUAAUUCUGACAUCAACUGUAUCUAAAAUCCCUUCCAUACAUUUAAUGUCAUACAGACCCUCACAAUGAGACAAAAAAUAAUGCUAAUAAUUGUGUGACCUGCACACUUUGUGUACGCAUUCAAGAGUGUAUGCUACAAAAACACACCCCUUGGAUCUAUAGGUGUCCAGUUGAGCGUUUGGCGUGCAUGUUGUGUUGCUGACCCUCCCCUCAACUUUGACUCUUGACCCCUGGAGGUAUCUGUCAUGACAGGAGGCUACUUAACACAAAAACACUGGCCGCUUCCAAGGGAGAGUAAAAAACAAGGCACAAACACACACAGUGGAUUCCUUUAUACCAGCCCUGCGCUUUUGUUUUGAGCCGAAGAACGUGUUGCCUUUUCCCCCCUCCCUUCUGCUUUCUUCCCCUCUCCUUUUUUCCUUUCUUUCUUUUCUUUCUCCAGCGCCUAGCAGUGUUCUCGUUCCGCAGCAGGUAGUGGCUGAGAGCAGCAGGAUUCUGGGAGAUUGUAAGAGAACGCCUUAAUGAGCUGAAGGCCUCCACGGCUGGAAACAAAUGUAUGCAAAUGAGAUGCACAACCCAAAAAAAAAAAGAGGAAGGAUGGUGGUCCAAGAAGAGAAGACGAACUGCAGCUGACUGAGUCUCCCCCCCUCCCCAAAUCCAGCAACCAGGAUGAGCUCUGCUAUCUCUCUCUCUUCUGCGAUCUGUGCCUGGCUUUCAUUUGCCCUCCCCGCAACAAUGAAACGCGCCAUGUAUUGGGAUCCAUUCCUCUGUCCGCCAACGUAACUGGACAAAUUGGUAACAGCGGGAAAGCCAUCAAUAUUGAGGGAAGCGUCUUCAAGAGAAAAGGCUGAGCUGCGUAGGUGAGUUUCACCGUCUGAUGAGGCGUGGGGUCUCCACAGGGUCAGACACACCAUGACACCUCCACCAUCUGCCCACCUCCCUUCCCAUCACACACACAUGCACAUCACCUCCCUAUAGCAUUGCCACAAAUACAAUCUGCACUGUACAGUGUGCGUUAAAACACUGGGAGGAACUGAGGCUGUUUUUCUUGUGAAUAUAAUCAGUGAGAUUAUUCUGGGAGUGAAGGUUGCUGCUCUGAGAGCUGCCCAGAUGCUGUCAAUAGAGUUUUGCUUUGGGCAAUGUUUGAGUUAUGAUUUGGGGAGAUUACCUGAUUGGCUAUUUCCUUUUAAAGGCUGUUCACCUUAAAGACAAAAUGCUGAUUGAGUGUUUGUAAUUGUCAAAACAGAAAUGACUGAAGAUAGGUUUGAAAAUGAUGCGUGAGUGGAUGAAUAAUCACAUUUGUGACACUGGAGCACAA